GAUGAACGCUGGCGGCGUGCCUAAUACAUGCAAGUCGAGCGAACGGACGAGAAGCUUGCUUCUCUGAUGUUAGCGGCGGACGGGUGAGUAACACGUGGAUAACCUACCUAUAAGACUGGGAUAACUUCGGGAAACCGUAGCUAAUACCGGAUAAUAUUUGAACCGCAUGGUUCAAAAGUGAAAGACGGUCUUGCUGUCACUUAUAGAUGGAUCCGCGCUGCAUUAGCUAGUUGGUAAGGUAACGGCUUACCAAGGCAACGAUGCAUAGCCGACCUGAGAGGGUGAUCGGCCACACUGGAACUGAGACACGGUCCAGACUCCUACGGGAGGCAGCAGUAGGGAAUCUUCCGCAAUGGGCGAAAGCCUGACGGAGCAACGCCGCGUGAGUGAUGAAGGUCUUCGGAUCGUAAAACUCUGUUAUUAGGGAAGAACAUAUGUGUAAGUAACUGUGCACAUCUUGACGGUACCUAAUCAGAAAGCCACGGCUAACUACGU
Molecule: ribosomal RNA, 495 nt
Filed under: uncultured bacterium
Lineage: Bacteria
Description: partial 16S ribosomal RNA
Rfam family: Bacterial small subunit ribosomal RNA
Source: RNAcentral